GGGGAAUAUUGCGCAAUGGGGGCAACCCUGACGCAGCCAUGCCGCGUGAAUGAAGAAGGCCUUCGGGUUGUAAAGUUCUUUCGGUAGCGAGGAAGGCAUUUAGUUUAAUAAACUAGGUGAUUGACGUUAACUACAGAAGAAGCACCGGCUAACUCCGCGCCAGCAGCCGCGGUAAUACGGAGGGUGCGAGCGUUAAUCGGAAUAACUGGGCGUAAAGGGCACGCAGGCGGUGACUUAAGUGAGGUGUGAAAGCCCCGGGCUUAACCUGGGAAUUGCAUUUCAUACUGGGUCGCUAGAGUACUUUAGGGAGGGGUAGAAUUCCACGUGUAGCGGUGAAAUGCGUAGAGAUGUGGAGGAAUACCGAAGGCGAAGGCAGCCCCUUGGGAAUGUACUGACGCUCAUGUGCGAAAGCGUGGGGAGCAAACAGGAUUAGAUACCCUGGUAGUCCACGCUGUAAACGAUGUCGAUUUGGGGGUUGAGCUUUGAGCUUGGCGCCCGUAGCUAACGUGAUAAAUCGACCGCCUGGGGAGUACGGCCGCAAGGUUA
RNAcentral lists this ribosomal RNA (546 nucleotides) under uncultured bacterium. Its description in RNAcentral is "bacterial SSU rRNA". It matches the Rfam family "Bacterial small subunit ribosomal RNA", at positions 356 to 896 of the family's 1533-position model. The record is from RNAcentral.